This is a long non-coding RNA of Mastomys coucha (southern multimammate mouse), 1303 nucleotides long. RefSeq lists it as uncharacterized. Lineage: Eukaryota; Metazoa; Chordata; Mammalia; Rodentia; Muridae. The record is from RefSeq and is a predicted model, not a curated record. The transcript is spliced from 7 exons.
UCAUGUCAUUGAGCUUGAUAGCAGGUGCCUUUAAGCACUGUGGACCCUCUUUGUCGGCAGAUGGUGACAAAUGACUCACCCAUCAUAAUCUAAAGUUUAAGGAAUGCAAACGAUCCACAAAGGAAAGUUUAAAUUGCUUUGAAAUGAAAAGAGAAAGUCUAAUGAUUUUAGAAGCCAACACAGAAGGAUCAUCAUUGCUGGGAGUCACAGCAACUGGAAAGGCCACAAGUCUAGGAAAUUCAAUCAAAGAUGACUUGUAAAACUAUGGACCCCUUCUCUGGAGGAACACCACUUAAAUCCAGGUUGUAUUGGAUUCCUGCAGCCACAGAUCUGCCAAAUAUGAGAUCACAGUCCUAAAAUUACAGCCUAUGCAAGCACACAUUCAACCACAGUAAAUGGAGACCUCAACCAAAUUACCUGGGAUGAUUAGCCCAGACUCUUCCCUCCUUAGACUAUUACCCAUCCUUAGGGGAGAUGUCACAUGUACUUUACAGACUGCUACCUUCUUCACUAUCUCAGUCAGAGACCACAUUAGAUUCCAGGCCUUUAAGUGAUAGAAGCCACCCUCAUGGUCACAGGUAUUUCUUCGUUCUUCUGAUUGCAUCAGUUUUGAAGUCAUAGGACAUGUGCACAAGUAACAAAACAUUGUAACAGCAAUACCAUCAAAGUAAAAAAGAGCGAGCCUGGACCUGGGAGGAAAGAAAAAUAGCCAGAAACAGCAACAUCUUGUUUGUCAAAGUUACUAGCUUUGGGCUAAGAAGGCCCAUUCUAUCAACUGCCCGCCCCACUGCAUUCUAGCCCCUGCCCUGGAUUUCAGAGCCUUGAUUCAGAAGGGUGUCUCACCUCACAUCUGGAGCCUCCGUUGAUCCUUGCAGAAGGCAGGGCAGGCACUGUAAUCCGUUUCACAGGAAAGGAAAUUGAAGCACGGAGAGGUGACACCAUUAGCUUGUAAAUCUCAGAGCUCUAUUGGAACCAGGAAUUUCUGAUGCCGCUAGAAGUCACUCGACUGGCUCCUUUCUCUGAAGACCGCAUGGGCACUCCAUCACUGUGCCAUUCCCAGGACUGCAGGUGGUAGGCAGACUGGCAGAUGUUUUGUAGGACUGUGUUGAUAGUUCAGUGGGCCAGAACAUCUGGGACAGCGAAGCUCUGGAGCUUAGACAGAACCCCCUGCUGUGUACAGGGGCACCACCCUCUCUGAUUAGCUUGCAAGUUUUGGCUGAAUUUGGGUUGUGAAGGUGACACCUCCUCUGGUGGGAAUACUGGGGCCAUGAAGGAUGCAACAGCUAUGCUCCAUUCCUCCAGA